AUGGGGUGUCGUUAUUUCAGCUCUUUGUAUGUGUUGUGUUUCGUUAGGCUUAGUCUAGCUAGGCGUUGUUUAGAUUUUUGCUCGGUUUUCCUCAAUAAACCAAGUAGCCAGAUUUUUCAUUUCUUCUUUUCUGGCACUCGCCUUUAUGCGACACAUUCCUCCUCAUGGAGUGUUCUUGUAAUACUCAUUUCUAAUCAAUGGAUGUGGCGGCCCUCUUGUAAUGCUCUUGCCCGGUUUUCCUUAAAAAAGAGUUGUACUCCCUCCAUUCCCUUAUACAAGGCCAGUAUCAAAAAUACAUUUUGCAUCGAUAUAAGGCCACCAACAGUAAUUGAGGCAAAAAUUAAUAAUGUUUCCUCAUACUAG
This 363-nucleotide ribosomal RNA is filed under the name Triticum aestivum (bread wheat). RNAcentral's name for it is "partial small subunit ribosomal RNA". The record is from RNAcentral. Lineage: Eukaryota; Viridiplantae; Streptophyta; Magnoliopsida; Poales; Poaceae.